ACGUGGAAUUGCCUCUAUCGGGGGAGCCCCUGUCGGAGACGGUUAUCCCCGUCUUGAUGACAAGCUUCAGCCGCGCUCCGUUCGUGCGAGAUCUAGCCGACCCGUCUGUCUCAGUGGCCCUACAUUGGUGUUCCGGUUCGGGGAGUGGAGUACCCAGGUAGCGAUGCCUGAGGAUGACGUUCACCCAUGCCGUACCGGCGCCAGAAACACAUGUAUUUCUCAAACCCUGUCUUUUAACAAAGUUGAUGGCGUUCCGAAAAAAAUAAAAAUAAAAACCCUCCAGCUAAGACAAGAUACCUGAUUAAGCGGUGCCCCGGCACCUGUGGCUCCGGCCAUGGGCAGUUCAGGGCCUCCCGCUGGGCGCACAGUGGAUUGACCUAGGGCCUCCUCCCCUCACGGGAUAGGAGUGGUCCCUGGCUGUUCUCUGCUUAGUGUGCUCGGGUACAACCUCUAUGUUGUGAGUGGCUACCUGGUUGAUCCUGCCAGUAGCAUAUGCUUGUCUCAAAGAUUAAGCCAUGCAAGUCUAAGUACACACGGCCGGUACAGUGAAACUGCGAAUGGCUCAUUAAAUCAGUUAUGGUUCCUUUGAUCGCUCCAACGUUACUUGGAUAACUGUGGCAAUUCUAGAGCUAAUACAUGCAGACGAGCGCUGACCUCCGGGGAUGCGUGCAUUUAUCAGACCCAAAACCCAUGCGGGCCAAUCUCGGUUGCCCCGGCCGCUUUGGUGACUCUAGAUAACCUUGAGCCGAUCGCGCGCCCUUUUUGUCGGUUACGUACUACC
Non-coding RNA from Salmo salar (Atlantic salmon), 781 nucleotides. Lineage: Eukaryota; Metazoa; Chordata; Actinopteri; Salmoniformes; Salmonidae. The record is from RefSeq and is a predicted model, not a curated record.